RNAcentral lists this long non-coding RNA (678 nucleotides) under Panax ginseng (ginseng). Its description in RNAcentral is "long non-coding RNA (PGIN_LNC005639)". Lineage: Eukaryota; Viridiplantae; Streptophyta; Magnoliopsida; Apiales; Araliaceae. The record is from RNAcentral.
UAAAGAAGACCCUGUUUUGACAGUUCUUGUGGAACAAGGGAUUUAAAAACUUCUGAACCCACCUCAGAUCUUUCCAAUUCUUUUGACAUAAGCACAGAAACAGAUUCAUCUCAUUCUCGUUGGAGUUUUCAUCUUCAUUCAUAAAAGGCCGCGUGUCUGCAAGUCCACUUGUUUAUAUUUCUCCCCAAUUCUAGUCAAUUUUCUGAAUGGAUUGCUACCUCUUUGUUCUACCUGGUAUGUAACUCCAUACAUCUCCUUUUAUCCUUCUUCUUCUUCUUCUUCUUCUUCUUCUUCUUCCUGUAGGUUUUUUGGCCAAAUCAAGAGUACCCAUUAAUUGCCACUUCUGAUUCUGUCCUUUUAUACUUACCCAGCUCUUAAUUCUUGUGUGUUUUGGUUCAUUUUGGUCUCCAUGCCUAAAUAUCAACUUCUAUCUAUGAAUUCUGCAAGUGGGUGUCUCUUUUCAUGGCUAAAUUAAGAUACUCUUUAAGUGCUUGAUUGAUUUGAACCUCUGGGAGAUUUUUGGACGCGUCAAAUAUAUUUGGUUUUUGUAAUUCUGCCCCUUUAUCUUUCUCAAUUUGCCAUUUUGACUCUUGUAUCAUUGCUUGGUGCAAAGUUUCAUACCCUUGAUUCCUUUAUUGCUCUUCAUUUUCCAAAUUGCUUCAAUUUUCCCAAAUCCAG